AUAAUCUUUCCUUGUUAAUAUAGGUCACAUGUAUGGUAGUUAGGACUCCUAGCCUUGUAUAUAUAUAUAUUUCUCAAUUGUAAGUAGAAAUUACAUGAAUGAGAAUUAAGGUUUUUCUUCUUUCUCUCUCUCUCAACAUGGUAUCAGAGCCAAGGGAGAAAACCUAAUUCUUUCCAGUUUCCCGUGUCAUCAACUCCGGGAAACCUUCCGGUGACCGUGUUUCAUUCCGAUCACCUUCCCCAUCUCCCAAUACUUUCUGGUCAGUCGGAUCGUCGUCAGAAAACACUCACCACCGGCAAACUUUUCCGACGAACUUUCCGACGACGUCUUUUUCCGACACUGACCAUACCAAAAGGAGCGCCUGGAGGAGAUCUCCAACUUUUGUGAAGGCACCGGAACCAAAAGAUCAUCCACGCGCCGGCCACGCGCAAUUUUUCGGCCGACGACUGCAUCUCACGCACCAACGCGUGAGGGCGCGUGAGGACUUUCCUGGCCACGCGCCUCCUCCUCCAGCCUCGCCUGAUGCCGACUAGCCUUCCUUCAUCCCUGGUUCUGCCAUCUGAGCCCUGCAUGUACCUCUUUUAGGGUUUUUUUGCCUCCGCCGACCCUCCAAACAGUUUUUCCGGCGAGCUUCGGCUACUUUUUCUCCAUCCUAAUCCCUGCACGUGCCUAAGGAAGUGUUCUUCUACCUUUCCGGUGGUGCCACGCCGCGAUCUGAAGCCGUCUCCCUUUCCAGUGGUGCCAUGCCGCAAUCUGCAACCGUAUUAGGGCUCUCUUCGAUCCAAAUAUACUUCAUUCUCCAGAUAAGUAGAUAUGGCUACUAAAACUUCCAUUUUUUCCUCUGUUAUAUCUGGAUCUCCUAUGAUUACUUCAGAGAAAUUGGUUGGCAGUGACAAUUAUCUUUCCUGGUCUACCUCUGUUGAACUUUGGUUUAUGGGUCAAGGAUAUGAGGAUCACUUGAUUACACAGGAGGCAGAUAUCCCUGAGGUUGACCGCGUACAGUGGAGGAAGAUAGAUGCACAGUUAUGUAGUGUAUUAUGGCAAUCGGUUGAUCCUAAGAUUCUUCUUCAUCUUCGGGCCUACAAAACUUGUUUUAAAUUUUGGACUCAGGCCAAAGGAUUAUACACGAAUGAUAUCCAGCGUCUUUAUAAGGUAGCUUCUGCUAUUGUCCAUAUCAGCCAACAGGACUUGGAUCUAUCUACUUAUAUUGGCCAGAUUGCCUCUCUUAAGAAGGAGUUCUUGACUGUGAUGCCUCUUAUUCCUGAUGUUGGGGCUCAACAAACACAGCUUGGCAAGUUCUUCAUGGUUCUUACUCUUAUUGGCCUCCGUCCGGAUCUUGAGCCUGUCCGUGAUCAAAUUCUUAGUAGUUUAUCAGAUCCGUCCUUGGAUGAUGUGUUUUCUCGCCUCCUCCGUAUCUCCUCCACUCAGACUUUGCCAUUUGAUAGCACUUCAGAUUCUUCUGUGUUAGUUUCUCACACUAGCUCUCAAGGAGGACGCAAUAGUAACCGAGGUAGAGGCCAACGUCCUCAUUGCACCUAUUGCAAUAAACUUGGCCACACACGCGAUCGUUGCUAUCAGUUACAUGGACGGCCUCCUCGCACUGCCCAUGUGACCCAGUCCUCUGAUUCUCAGCUGCCUCAGCCUCCGAGCUCCUCCGCAUCUCAGGCAUCUCAGGCUUCUGUUGCCUCUGUUGUCUAGCCUGGUAAUGCCUUGGCUUGCCUUACCCACACAUCUUCUCUUGGACCCUGGAUUCUAGAUUUUGGAGCUUCUGAUCACCUAUCUGGUAAUAAGGAUCUUUUCUCCUCUAUUACUACUACCUCUGCUUUACCUAAUGUUACCUUAGCUAAUGGUUCUCAAACUGUAGGUAAAGGUAUUGGUUUGGCCCUUCCUCUGCCUUCUCUACCUCUCACUUCUGUCCUUUAUACUCCUAAAUAUCCUAUUAAUCUUAUUUCCAUCAGCAAAAUCACUCGUACUCUUAAUUGCUCUAUUACUUUUUCUGAUAAAUUUGUGACCUUGCAGGACCGGAGUACGGGGAAGACGAUUGGCAUAGGACGUGAGUCUCAAGGCCUCUAUCACCUCACCUCGGAUUCAUCUCCUGUAGUUUGCAUUUCCACUGAUGCUCCUCUCCUCAUUCACAAUCGUCUGGGCCACUCCAGUCUCUCCAAGUUCCAGAAAAUGGUCCCUCGUUUUUCCACUUUCUCGUCGCUUCCGUGUGAGUCAUGUCAGCUUGGGAAACAUACUCGUCUCUCGUUACCAAAGCGUUUGAAUAAUCGGGCAAAGUCUCCUUUUGAGCUUGUCCACACUGAUGUUUGGGGUCCUUGUUGGACUGCGUCUACUUUAGGAUUUCAGUAUUUUGUCACUUUCAUUGAUGACUAUUCUUGAUGUACUUGGUUAUUUUUAAUGAAAAAUCGAGCUGAGUAUUCUCUAUUUUCCAGAAAUUUUAUGCUGAAAUCCAAACUCAAUUCAAUAUUUCUAUUCGUGUGUUACGCAGUGACAAUGCCAGGGAAUAUUUUUCAACCCCAUUACUUCGUUUAUGUCUCAUCAUGGGAUUCUUCAUCAGUCUUCUUAUGCUCAUACUCCUCAAAAAAAUGGGGUAGCUGAACGCAAGAAUCGAUCGACAUCUUGUUGAGACAGCUCAUACUAUCCUCCUCCAUAGUAAUGUUCCUUUUCGUUUUUGGGGGGACGCUGUUCUUACCGCUUGUUAUUUGAUUAAUCGUAUGCCCUCUUCUGUCUUACACGAUCAGAUUCCUCACUCCCUUCUCUUCCCUGACCAACCACUUUAUUUCCUUCCUCCUCGUGUCUUUGGUUGUACUUGCUUUGUUCAUAUUCUCACUCCUGGACAGGACAAGCUUUCCGCCAAAGCCAUGAAGUGCCUCUUCUUGGGAUAUUCCAGACUUCAGAAGGGUUAUCGUUGUUAUUCCCUUGAGACUCAUCGAUACUUUAUCUCCGCUGAUGUCACCUUCUUUGAGGACUCACCAUUCUUUUCGGACUCACCAUUAUUUUCCACCACUUCUGAGUCUCUUCCUGUUUCUAAAGUCUUGCCCAUUCCCAUUGUCUCCCCACCUGAUGCUAUGCCUCCUCGACCACUUCAGGUUUAUCAUCGUCGCCCUCGUGUCGUUGCUCCUCUCCCUUUUGCUGAGGCACCUGCUGACUCACUUCCUAUCCCUUUGGCUUCACCUGCCCCGGCUCUGCCUUCUCCUAAUGACUUACCCAUUGUUGUUCGGAAAGGUACUCGCUCUACUCGUAAUCCUCAUCCUAUUUACAAUUUUUUGAGUUAUCAUCGAUUAUCUUCACCCUAUUUUGCUUUUGUUUCUGCUAUAUCCUCNNNNNNNNNNNNNNNNNNNNNNNNNNNNNNNNNNNNNNNNNNNNNNNNNNNNNNNNNNNNNNNNNNNNNNNNNNNNNNNNNNNNNNNNNNNNNNNNNNNNAGGUUGGUCCUGAUGGUCAAGUUGAUCGCCUUAAGACCCGCUUAGUUGCUAAAGGCUAUACUCAGGUUUAUGGUUCUGAUUAUGGUGACACAUUCUCCCCUGUUGCCAAGAUUGCUUCUGUCCGUCUGCUUCUCUCCAUGGCUGCUAUGUGUUCUUCGCCUCUUUAUCAGUUGGAUAUUAAAAAUGCCUUCCUUCAUGGUGAUCUUGCCGAGGAAUUUUAUAUGGAGCAACCUCCUGGUUUUGUUGCUCAGGGAGAGUCUGGUUUAGUGUGCAGGUUACGCCGUUCUCUAUAUGGCUUGAAACAAUCUCCUCGAGCAUGGUUUGGCCGUUUUAGUUCUGUUGUUCAAGAGUUUGGCAUGCUUCACAGUACAGCAGACCAUUCAGUUUUCUAUCAUCAUAACUCCUUGGGGCAGUGUAUUUAUUUGGUUGUUUAUGUGGACGACAUCGUCAUUACAGGCAGUGAUCAAGAUGGUAUUCAAAAACUAAAGCAACAUCUUUUUACCCACUUUCAGACCAAAGACUUAGGGAAACUCAAGUAUUUCUUGGGAAUUGAGAUAGCUCAAUCCAGUUCUGGUGUGGUCCUUUCCCAAAGGAAGUAUGCUUUAGACAUCCUGGAAGAAACCGAUAUGUUAGACUGUAAACCGGUAGACACACCUAUGGAUCCGAAUGUCAAACUUGUACCAGGAUAGGGGGAGCCUUUAGGAGACCCCGGCAGAUAUCGACGGCUCGUAGGUAAAUUGAACUAUCUCACCAUUACUCGUCCAGACAUUUCUUUUCCUAUGAGUGUUGUUAGUCAAUUCCUAAAGUCACCAUGUGAUAGCCAUUGGGAUGCCGUAAUCCGCAUUCUUCAAUAUAUCAAAAGUACACCAGGCCAAGGUGUGUUGUACGAGAACAGAGGUCAUACUCAGGUUGUUGGUUACACAGAUGCAGAUUGGGCUGACUCACUCACAGAUAAACGUUCCACUUCAGGGUACUGUGUUUUUAUUGGAGGUAAUCUAAUAUCUUGGAAGAGUAAGAAACAAGAUGUAGUGACCAGAUCUAGCGUUGAAACCGAGUAUCGAGCUAUUGCUUUGGCAACAUGUGAACUCAUAUGGUUGAGACAUCUUCUUCGAGAGUUGAGAUUUGGAAAGGAUGAACAGAUGAAACUCAUCUGUGAUAACCAAGCCGCAUUACAUAUUGCAUCCAAUCCAGUCUUUCAUGAAAGGACCAAGCAUAUUGAAGUUGAAUGUCAUUUCAUUAGAGAGAAGAUCGCAUCAGGAUGUGUUGCUACAAGUUUUGUUAAUUCAAAUGAUCAACUAGCAGACAUCUUCACUAAAUCUCUCAGAGGUCCUAGGAUUAAAUAUAUUUGUAACAAGCUUGGUGCAUAUGACGUAUAUGCUCCAGCUUGAGGGGGAGUGUUGAAUAUAAUGUAUUUAUAGUGUAUAAUCUUUCCUUGUUAAUAUAGGUCACAUGUAUGGUAGUUAGGACUCCUAGCCUUGUAUAUAUAUAUAUUUCUCAAUUGUAAGUAGAAAUUACAUGAAUGAGAAUUAAGGUUUUUCUUCUCUCUCUCUCUCUCUCAACAUACACCAAGGUUGAAGCUUAGCUAGAUUCAAGCCCAUUUGCUAAUAUCUAGUGCUGGAAGCAGUCAAGUUCAUAUGGGUCCAGUCGAUCAUAGUUCACAAUUAAAGGAAUCUUCUU
RNAcentral lists this long non-coding RNA (5102 nucleotides) under Vitis vinifera (wine grape). RNAcentral describes it as "long non-coding RNA (VVIN_LNC006421)". Lineage: Eukaryota; Viridiplantae; Streptophyta; Magnoliopsida; Vitales; Vitaceae. The record is from RNAcentral.